RNAcentral lists this ribosomal RNA (253 nucleotides) under uncultured bacterium. RNAcentral's name for it is "partial 16S ribosomal RNA". It matches the Rfam family "Bacterial small subunit ribosomal RNA", at positions 524 to 776 of the family's 1533-position model. The record is from RNAcentral.
UACGUAGGGUGCGAGCGUUAACCGGAAUUAUUGGGCGUAAAGCGUGCGCAGGCGGUUCGUUGCGUCUGAUGUGAAAGCCCCGGGCUUAACCUGGGAAUGGCAUUGGAAACUGGCGGGCUGGAGUGUGGCAGAGGGGGGUGGAAUUCCGCGUGUAGCAGUGAAAUGCGUAGAGAUGCGGAGGAACACCGAUGGCGAAGGCAGCCCCCUGGGACAACACUGACGCUCAGGCACGAAAGCGUGGGGAGCAAACAGG